This 273-nucleotide non-coding RNA is filed under the name Paucilactobacillus wasatchensis. RNAcentral describes it as "Lactobacillus wasatchensis T-box sequence". It matches the Rfam family "T-box leader". Rfam says of the family: Uncharged tRNA acts as the effector for transcription antitermination of genes in the T-box leader family. T-boxes are found upstream of many aminoacyl-tRNA synthetase genes and some amino acid biosynthetic genes usually in Gram-positive bacteria. Lineage: Bacteria; Bacillati; Bacillota; Bacilli; Lactobacillales; Lactobacillaceae. The record is from RNAcentral.
AUUACAUUAACGCAAAGAUGAGUAGGUUAGGCAGUUGUUUUAAGAGAGUCAUCACAAUGGUGCAAGAUGGCAACAACGAAUAAUCGAAUAUGGUCUUAAAUGCAGUUCACAGCUGAGCACUUGUUAGGCGGUGACGGGAACUCCCGUUAUAGAGUCCGGGUAUGCACUUACAGUAAGUACUUUGUUAGCUGUAUUUAAGUACCCAAUGAGAAAUAACUCGUGAGGGUUAUUUAAACUAAGGUGGUAACACGAAAAAGCACUUUCGUCCUUGUC